Molecule: ribosomal RNA, 425 nt
Filed under: uncultured bacterium
Lineage: Bacteria
Description: partial 16S ribosomal RNA
Rfam family: Bacterial small subunit ribosomal RNA
Source: RNAcentral
GUGGGGAAUAUUGGACAAUGGGCGCAAGCCUGAUCCAGCCAUGCCGCGUGAGUGAUGAAGGCCCUAGGGUUGUAAAGCUCUUUCAGUGGGGACGAUAAUGACGGUACCCACAGAAGAAGCCCCGGCUAACUUCGUGCCAGCAGCCGCGGUAAUACGAAGGGGGCUAGCGUUGUUCGGAUUUACUGGGCGUAAAGCGCACGUAGGCGGAUCGUUAAGGCGAGGGUGAAAUCCUGGAGCUCAACUCCAGAACUGCCUUCGAUACUGGCGAUCUUGAGUCCGGAAGAGGUGAGUGGAACUCCUAGUGUAGAGGUGGAAUUCGUAGAUAUUAGGAAGAACACCAGUGGCGAAGGCGGCUCACUGGUCCGGUACUGACGCUGAGGUGCGAAAGCGUGGGGAGCAAACAGGAUUAGAAACCCCGGUAGUCC